AGUUUUGGUUUCAUUUUGUUUUGAUUAUAUAUAGAGAGAGAAGGAUAAUAUGUAAUCUGCUUUAUUAAUUAUGAAUAUGAACUAAACUAUAUUAGUGGGGCAACUAGGCUGCAGAGAGAGAGAGAGAGAGAGAGAAGCGAAAUAACAUAAAGUACAAGAAAAAGAGACGAAAAAAAUAUACCGACAAAGGCAUAAAGCAGCUAAAUUACUGACUGGAGCGUCUAGUAGUUAGUGAGUCAAUUCACUGUCUUAUCAAGGUUUGGACCAUCCCAAGUGCUAUUAACGGAUCUGUAUUUUUAUAUCUAAAU
This 308-nucleotide long non-coding RNA is filed under the name Ananas comosus (pineapple). RNAcentral's name for it is "long non-coding RNA (ACOM_LNC018710)". The record is from RNAcentral. Lineage: Eukaryota; Viridiplantae; Streptophyta; Magnoliopsida; Poales; Bromeliaceae.